GUCUACAGCCAUGCCACCCUGAACAAGCCAGAACCCAUCUGAUCUCAGAAGCUAAGCAGGGUCGGGCCUGGUUAGUACUUGGAUGGGAGACCACCUAGGAAGACCAGGUGCUGUAGGCA
Molecule: ribosomal RNA, 119 nt
Filed under: Pteropus alecto (black flying fox)
Lineage: Eukaryota; Metazoa; Chordata; Mammalia; Chiroptera; Pteropodidae
Source: RNAcentral